CUGAGUAGCUGGGACUACAGGCACACACCACCACAUCGAAGUGUUCAGACAGUGUCAUCCGGACUCUGCCUCUGCAUCUUUCAGUUCUGCUUCAACAUCGGCUCCUGCUUCAGUAGGCUGUGAAGGUGCUGCACUGAGACAACAUUACCGACUUUAUGAUAUGUGGUAGUUAAGAGUAUACAGAGGGGAAGAAAUCACAUCCAGUAAGUUGUUUGCUUAACAUACUUAUCAUAGUUCUCACUUAUAAGCUAAUUUAAGCAAUUUUUUAGGUAUACAUAUUCUAAGCUAAAUCUAACAUAGCUUUAUUUUCUGAUCUCAAAGAAGAUCUUAAUUCCACUGAAAUUAUUGUUAUCAAUAUCACUGUUUCAUAUGCUUGUUAAUAUUUAGAUAUUGUGAUACCUACAUACAUACAUACAUAUUUGAUAAAAUAUAGCAAUAGAUAUACCUAGAAAUACAUCUACCUUUUUUAA
Macaca mulatta (Rhesus monkey) is the source of this 470-nucleotide non-coding RNA. The record is from RefSeq and is a predicted model, not a curated record. Lineage: Eukaryota; Metazoa; Chordata; Mammalia; Primates; Cercopithecidae.